AGGGGAAGCCCCAGUAGAGGGAGGAGGAGCCUGGAGAUGCUGCUGGGAAGGACUGGACCAGACUUCCAUCCCUCUAACCUCUGCCCAGCCCAAGCAGCAGCCUGCAAUGAAUGUUUGUGCUGAGGACCGAGACCAGCUGUGUCAAUGUUAACUGCUGGUUCCAGGAUACUCUUUCCCAGGUGGAUGAGGGUGAAAACAAUAAAGAAUGUCACUCAUUGCUUCAGGGAAUUCCUGAAAACCAAUUAUCCAGAGCAGGUGAUGCUGGCUGUCUGUCCUGGGGACACGGACACUGAGGGUGGCUGAGUCAGCUCAUAGGAGGCCACGGAUCCUACAGGAGAGAAAACGGGAGAGAAAAGGCUUGAAACUGAGGAGCUGAACUCCAAGUAGUAUGAUGUCCUGCCCAUGUGGCCAUUCCUUGUCCUGCGUGGAGAUGGCCAGGGACUGACUUACAAUGGCGACUGAGGGAUUAUUCUGAGAUCUAAGGUGACACCGUAAGGCUGGCACACAUGCAGGGACCUGCCAUUGCUUCUGAGUGGUGCUUUCCACAAUCAAACUUCACCCUUGUCAUGUGCACACGGAGUGUUGAAAGACUCAGGAGAUGCUGUCCCUGAUUCCCUGGUCUGCAGACUGCUGGUGCCAAUGGAGGAAAUUUUUCUCUUCUCUUUGUGACUCAUGCCUGCCUCAAUACCAGGACCAGCGUACAGUGGUGACUCCUGCACCAAAGUCAGAGACAGAAGAACAUCCACCCAUCAAAUGUUAAUCCAGACCCACUGUGGUCUGGGACACGUUCCAUGCGGUGAAUUCAGCAGGAACAAGACACAGCCUUCUUGAAGUGAGUUGUUCAUCGUGCUGGUUUGGCUGUGCAGGAAAACUGGGUUUGCAGACCCAGCAGACAGUCCCUGUCACCUUCCACCUGAGCACUGUCUUCUAUAUUCACCGAAAAGACUGGUGCCUGUGAUUCCCAGGUCCUGCUCAGCUGGGAUUGACCAUGUGACUCAGGCCUGAUCAGUGGGGUGUGAGAUCAGUGGGUGAAAUUCUUCUUAGGAAAGCUUUGCUCUUGUGAAAGAGCACUAGAUUCAUGAGGCCCUUUUCUCCUUGAAUAUGGGAGUGAUAGCUGGAGCUGCAGCAGCCACCCUGAGGUCACACAUCAGCAGGGAUGAAAAUAAAGCCAAUAUCAUAGGGAUGGUGGGACAAAAAGUGAGAAAGACCCUGGUGUCUUCGUGAAAGUGGUGGGUAUUAUUGCAGCGAGAAAUACACCCUUAGCUGUUUGUGUCUGUUUUUUAUGUGUGAUUCUGUGGUAAAAAAGCAUCCAUGACCAAUUAAGUAAAUAUUUAACACCAAUCAAUUAAUAAAAUUAACAAUAGGCAAAGAUUCCUACAGUUGUAAAUGCUAUGGGGAUAAUUAAAAAGAUUUAGGCAGAAAAUAACAGACAGGUUGUAUUAUAAGAGCCUGGGGACAUCUUAAUGGGGAAGUGUCUCUGGAACUGCUGUCAGGACUGACAGAGAAAAAUGAGUCCUGGGAUUUGUGUUGGAAACAGUGGAGUCAGGCCCCUGUGGAAAGAGUCUGGCAUGUGUGAGGACCUGAGAGGUCAGCGGCAAACCUGAAAGGGGUCCUGGAUUCAGGCCAUUUCGGCUAAUUGUGCCAUUUUAAUAAAUUAGUAAUUUGGGGGCAGGAGUCAUGUGUGGUCAGGUGUGGUGAAGGGAAAUUUACAGGUAAUUAAUCAAGUUCUUUGGCAGCUGCUUAGCACAUAUAGGGGCUUCCAGGAUGGUGCUGCUGGGGCAGUGACAGGAGAGUCCCCGGUGGGUUGAGCCCAGCCCACUGACCCCUCCCUAGUUCACCUGGGGCUGAAGACACUCAGGGGAGUGGUUCCUGGUUUCUUACCUCCACCUGGUGCCCACCAUGCUGCUCUGUGGGGACCCCCACUGCUGUCUGUGUUUCUGGUCCUGGGCUCGCUGUCUUGAAUUCCAUGUGGGUGACCAGCACUGCUUUCCCUAAAAUUCUACAGAUACAGGACCUAGGAACACAAAAUCUGCAAACUGCACUUAACACAAAAGGGAAGGGGCUGAGAUGGGGAGGAACAAUUCCAAGGUCACUUGGCAAGGAGAGAGAAAAGGAAGACGAGAAAUGCUCUGGACCUGUAACAGUAAGUCUUCUGAGUGUCCUGGGACCAGCCUGCCAGGGAGGGCAUGGGAAAAUCCUCAGCCCAAAUUCUCAGCCCAAAUCCCUCCCUAUGGAGACGGCAUCUCAGUCAGCUCUUUUAGCUGCCUGUAGGGGGCGCGCCUGCCACACUCUGGGUUGAAAGGGAGAGAAAAGACGGUUGAUUCCCAGCUCAGGAACCAAGCUGUCUAGAGACAUUUUCUUUUCUUUUUUUUUUUUAAUUUAUUAUUAUUAUACUUUAAGUUUUAGGGUACAUGUGCACAAUGUGCAGGUUAGUUACAUAUGUAUACAUGUGCCAUGCUGGUGCGCUGCACCCACUAACUCGUCAUCUAGCAUUAGAUAUAUCUCCCAAUGCUAUCCCUCGCCCCUCCCCCCACCCCACAACAGUCC
RNAcentral lists this long non-coding RNA (2547 nucleotides) under Homo sapiens (human). Its description in RNAcentral is "HSALNT0275807". Lineage: Eukaryota; Metazoa; Chordata; Mammalia; Primates; Hominidae. The record is from RNAcentral.